RNAcentral lists this ribosomal RNA (496 nucleotides) under uncultured bacterium. Its description in RNAcentral is "partial 16S ribosomal RNA". It matches the Rfam family "Bacterial small subunit ribosomal RNA", at positions 29 to 507 of the family's 1533-position model. The record is from RNAcentral.
AUGAACGCUGGCGGCGUGCCUAAUACAUGCAAGUCGCGCGAACAGACGAGGAGCUUGCUCCUCUGACGUUAGCGGCGGACGGGUGAGUAACACGUGGAUAACCUACCUAUAAGACUGGGAUAACUUCGGGAAACCGGAGCUAAUACCGGAUAAUAUAUUGAACCGCCUGGUUCAAUAGUGAAAGACGGUUUUGCUGUCACUUAUAGAUGGAUCCGCGCCGCAUUAGCUAGUUGGUAAGGUAACGGCUUACCAAGGCAACGAUGCGUAGCCGACCUGAGAGGGUGAUCGGCCACACUGGAACUGAGACACGGUCAAGACUCCUACGGGAGGCAGCAGUAGGGAAUCUUCCGCAAUGGGCGAAAGCCUGACGGAGCAACGCCGCGUGAGUGAUGAAGGUCUUCGGAUCGUAAAACUCUGUUAUUAGGGAAGAACAAAUGUGUAAGUAACUAUGCACGUCUUGACGGUACCUAAUCAGAAAGCCACGGCUAACUACGUG